This 281-nucleotide unclassified non-coding RNA is filed under the name uncultured fungus. RNAcentral's name for it is "partial contains small subunit ribosomal RNA, internal transcribed spacer 1, and 5.8S ribosomal RNA". The stretch from base 1 to 73 matches the Rfam family "Eukaryotic small subunit ribosomal RNA", at positions 1759 to 1831 of the family's 1831-position model. Lineage: Eukaryota; Fungi. The record is from RNAcentral.
GCAAACUUGGUCAUUUAGAGGAAGUAAAAGUCGUAACAAGGUUUCCGUAGGUGAACCUGCGGAAGGAUCAUUAAUGAAGUAUUAAUUGCUGGUUAGAGUUGGAGCUGGUUGACCUAGUUAACAAAUGUGCUCACUCUAAUCGACAAGUCCACUAUACUUAAACACUUGUGAACUUUUUAAAUAUAAACACUUUGUUUUGUUAUUUGAACGUUUGGUUAUAAUAAGUUAAUACAACUUUCAACAACGGAUCUCUUGGCUCUCGCAUCGAUGAAGAACGCAGC